RNAcentral lists this unclassified non-coding RNA (327 nucleotides) under Hevea brasiliensis (rubber tree). The record is from RNAcentral. Lineage: Eukaryota; Viridiplantae; Streptophyta; Magnoliopsida; Malpighiales; Euphorbiaceae.
GAGAUUAUUUCUUUCUUCCAUAAUUUAUACUCCAAUUGUACUAUAUAUGGGGAAAAUGAAGUUGUUAGUCUCUUGCCUAAUAUUGUGACUCUAGAGAUUAAUAUGAAGUUGAUGGCCCUUGUUCAAGAAGAUGAAAUCAAAGCAGCCGUGUUCAGUUUGGGAGGAUUGAAAUCUCUAGGACCUGAUGGAUUCCCAGGUAUUUUCUAUAAAAAAAAUUGGGAUACAGCUGGUAGGAAUUUGUGUAUAGCUGUACAAAGUUUCAUUGUCAAUGGCUUUAUGUUAAAAGAUUAGAAUAGGACAAAUAUCAUUCUCAUUCCAAAAUGUAAA